This 116-nucleotide transfer RNA is filed under the name Aureobasidium pullulans. RNAcentral's name for it is "tRNA-Thr". It matches the Rfam family "tRNA". Rfam says of the family: Transfer RNA (tRNA) molecules are approximately 80 nucleotides in length. Their secondary structure includes four short double-helical elements and three loops (D, anti-codon, and T loops). RNAcentral also lists the same sequence under 1 other name. Lineage: Eukaryota; Fungi; Ascomycota; Dothideomycetes; Dothideales; Saccotheciaceae. The record is from RNAcentral.
GGUUCUAUAGCUUAGUAGUUAGAGCACCUAUCUAGUGUAGACUAAUAUACUAUCACCUAUUUAGUAGUACAGUAGCGGUCGGUAGAAGAUCCUAGGUUCAAUUCCUAGCAGAACUA